UACAUCAGAGUCACAUCAGUACAUUACAUAAUCAUCAAGAGUAAGAGCAGGGUCCGACUACGGACGAAAACAAACGACAAAAGAAGAACGACGUCCAUCCUUGCUAUCCCAGGCUGCCGGCCUGGAACCCAUCCUAGAUCGAUGAAGAAGAAGAAGGAGAAGCAACUCCAAAUGAACAAUCAACGCGCUCGCGUCAAGUAACCGUUACGUAUACCUGCAACUGGUGUUGUAGUAAUCUGUGAGCCACAGGGGACUCAGCAAUCUCAUUUCCAAAGGUAUCAAGACUAGCAAAGCUUAAUGGGUGAGGUAUGGUUAAGUGGUGAGGUUGCAGCAGCGACUAAGCAUAUAUUUGGUGGCUAACUUACGAGUACCAGAAAUAAGAGGGGGAAGAUCUACGCAUAGCGGACGUGAAUUACUGUUGAUCUAGUGAAUGAUCCUGAACACCUACCUACGUCAGACAUAACCCCACCGUGUCCUCGAUCGGAGUAAGAACUCCGAAAAAGACAGUCACGGUUACGCACGCGGUUGGCAUGUUUUAAUUAAGUUAACUUCAAGUUAUCUAGAACCAGUGUUAAACAAAGUAUC
Molecule: long non-coding RNA, 585 nt
Filed under: Hordeum vulgare
Lineage: Eukaryota; Viridiplantae; Streptophyta; Magnoliopsida; Poales; Poaceae
Description: long non-coding RNA (HVUL_LNC015041)
Source: RNAcentral